RNAcentral lists this ribosomal RNA (459 nucleotides) under uncultured bacterium. RNAcentral's name for it is "partial 16S ribosomal RNA". It matches the Rfam family "Bacterial small subunit ribosomal RNA", at positions 338 to 795 of the family's 1533-position model. The record is from RNAcentral.
CCUACGGGUGGCUGCAGUGAGGAAUAUUGGUCAAUGGCCGGAAGGCUGAACCAGCCAAGCCGCGUGAAGGACGACGGUGCCAAGCAUUGUAAACUUCUUUUGUCCGGGGACAAAAUCCGGCUCGAGAGCCUGACCGAGGGUACCUCAAGAAAAAGCAUCGGCUAAUUCCGUGCCAGCAGCCGCGGUAAUACGGAGGGUGCGGGCGUUAUCCGGAUUUAUUGGGUUUAAAGGGUGCGUGGGCGGACUGUUAAGUCAGCGGGAAAAUGUCGGGGCCCAACCCCGGCCGGCCGUUGAAACUGGCGUGCUCGAGUGCGCGAGAAGUAUGCGGAAUUCGUGGUGUAGCGGUGAAAUGCAUAGAUAUCACGAAGAACCCCGAUUGCGAAGGCAGCAUACGGGAUCGACACUGACGCUGAGGCACGAAAGCGUGGGUAUCGAACAGGAUUAGAUACCCUAGUAGUC